This 288-nucleotide long non-coding RNA is filed under the name Sorghum bicolor (sorghum). RNAcentral describes it as "long non-coding RNA (SBIC_LNC012442)". The record is from RNAcentral. Lineage: Eukaryota; Viridiplantae; Streptophyta; Magnoliopsida; Poales; Poaceae.
UCGUAAUGAAAAGGAAAAAAAUAUGACGAAGUCGUCGAAAAAGUAGAUGUUGGAAUAUGAGUAAAAAUGUGUGUUUGAUUGAUUAAUAGAUAUCCCAUUACAAGGCCCUAGGGUCUAUAUUUAUACCCUGCUCAAAGAGCUACAACCAGACACGACUACAAUUCGAAUUCCAAAUUACAUAGAAUCCGUAUACAAAACGAUUUAAAUAACUAAGGAAAACAUAAAGCUAUCUCCCCAUGACAAACUGGAACACCUCCACAAACUGAUCGGCAGCUUCCGGACUCUCCC